ACCAACCUCUCCAUUUCACUUCCAGUGAGUAGCACUGCCCCUCUAUGCCAUUCAAAUAGUGAUGAUGGAGCUAUUAAUUUGCUAUUAAUUAAUCAGCAUCAACCUAAAUUCUAAUCCGUUUCAUGGGUAAUUAAUGAUAUAUAGUUGUCAAAUGAUCCAUCAACUGGAGAAGUUGGAUUGAGGCCAUAGUUUCAAACAGGAGAAAUGCUGUUGUUAGUGAUAGCAUUGUCAGGUGGAGGAUCUUAAGAUGGGAAAUUCGUGGGCUCCAGCGUAGUUUAAUUGUGCCUUUUUUUCAAGCGGGACAAGUUUGUUUUCAUAUUUUGUUCUGUAUGCCCAACCCCUGUUCCUAGUUAAUUAAUUUAGGGUUUUGUAGAAGCAUAUCUUAUGCAAUAGAAUUUGCAUUUAAAUUGUUUCGUAUUGAUGUGGUAAUGUAAUUAUCCAUCGUUUCAUUUAAGCAUACCUUAUGAUAUCAUUUUAUUAUUGCAAUUAAAA
RNAcentral lists this unclassified non-coding RNA (492 nucleotides) under Hevea brasiliensis (rubber tree). Lineage: Eukaryota; Viridiplantae; Streptophyta; Magnoliopsida; Malpighiales; Euphorbiaceae. The record is from RNAcentral.